CUUACGCCGCAGUAUAUACUUCAUUAUUGUGGUCUAUCACAUUCUGUCCAAACAAAUUGGCAAAAAAUACGUAUAGAAUAAGAACGAUUUUUAGUUUAUACCAAGACAUAAAUGUACUAGCUGCCAUUAUGUAAUUAUUGGUACCACCUAGAGAAGAAUCCUUUUAGAAUGAAACAAAGGAAUGGAAUUCGAAGGAAUUGUACAAAAAUAUAUAAAUCGGACGUCCUAUUUUUAGAUUGCUAUUCUUUGGUAUGUUAAUCUCCAUCGCGUUUUCGAUACGAUAACUAACAAAUAUGUAUAAU
Long non-coding RNA from Ooceraea biroi (clonal raider ant), 302 nucleotides. RefSeq lists it as uncharacterized. NCBI's taxonomy places the organism in Eukaryota, Metazoa, Arthropoda, Insecta, Hymenoptera, Formicidae. The record is from RefSeq and is a predicted model, not a curated record.